Molecule: RNA transcript, 5833 nt
Organism: Lagopus muta (rock ptarmigan)
Lineage: Eukaryota; Metazoa; Chordata; Aves; Galliformes; Phasianidae
Exons: 7
Source: RefSeq, a predicted model, not a curated record
CACUCGCCUCUGAGAGCUCUGGCAGCCAUGUCAGGAGCAAAGAGAGCGAGGGGCGAAGCUUGCCCAAUUUCCAAUAGGAAGGGAGAGCUGGGGGCCCCAGAAGCGAAGAGGAGGAGGGGGGCCGCCUUUAAGAUCAAGCGGAGGAGGAAGGAAAAGAGAGUGCGUUUCCAUCGCGCCUGGACCAGCGCUGUGACCACCUCCGUGGAGCCCAUGGAGGUGGAUCCACCUCCGGAUGAGCCCAUGGAGGUGGAUCCGCCUGCGGCACAGCUGGCCUGGCACCACACCACCGUGCCAGGCCCCGCAUCGGCGCCGUCCCACCGCCGCUGGUCCAGGCGCUCGGCUCCCUAUCCGCUGCGCGGCCCCCGCCCCCAGCAUUAGCUGGGUGGCAUUAGUUUCCAUCAGCUCCUCCUCUGGAGCCAAUUCUGCGGGCCCCCAGCUCCAUCUUCAACCUGUUAUGUCCCCGUCCCUGUUUUUCUUGUUGAUUUUAGUGUUAAGUUUAGUGUUAGUGUUAGGAGUAGGUUAUUGUUCAUGUUUUAGAGUUAGGCAUAGGUUACUCGUAGUCUUUUAGUGUUAGGCAUAGGUUCCUGUUCUUGAGUUAGGCAUAGGUUAGUUGUAGUCUUUUAGUGUUAGGCAUAGGUUCCUGUUCAUACUUGACAGUUAGGGGUCGAUUGCUGGUGUCAGGUGGAGGUGAGCAGCGCUCACUCGGUAAGCACACGGCUGAUUGAUGGUGCGAAGACAUGAGUGCGAGUGCCGUGAGCACGGAGGCCCAGUGGCAUCUUGGAUGGAUUGAAUUUGCAGCUUGUGACUUUUGUGUUGCAGACCGUCGAGGAGCAGAGUGUGAGUGGCUGCAACCUUGUGUUGGGCCUCAGGAGAACAGUGUGUGACUGUGUCUCGAGCAUCCUGCGUGGCCGUUGCCAGGUAGGUGUGCCUUCCUUUGCAGUAAGCAGUGCUUAGGCGUGAGCCCAGCUCAUCCCCCUGUCCUGAGCAGAUGGGCUUUCUGCGUGCUUUAUUGCUGUGCUUGGUGCCGUCCGGCACAGCAGCAGCAAGGCCGUGAACACGUACGUAGCCAGGUAGAUGCAAAUGUGCAAGUGAUGGUAUGAAUACUCUUGUUGUUAGUGUUCAUGAGACAGUGGUCGUGCGUGUGUGAUCAAGCUCAGGAAGAAGUUGAUUCUUGCGUGUUCAGCUGUUGCUGAAAUGCAAGUUUGGCAUCCCUGCUUGUGGUUGGGUCGGAAGACCAAGGAUAUGUUCAGAGCACGUCUGUGAGUCAGGCUGGGAGUUUUUGCUAGCAGGAAGUCACAGCGUCGGAGCGCACGAAUGGAAUGAUGGCUCUCGUUUCCCCCUUGUAGAAAGCAGCCUCCUGGAGAGCAGCAGAGCAGCAGGCUGUCUGCGCUAUGGCCGCUGAACUGCAUUUCUCGCCCCGUGAGAUCCCUGAGCCCACGCUGAUGGAGAACGUGCUGCGCUCCGGCCUCUUCUUUGGAGCCGUUUUGCAGCUUGUGUGCGUGCUGGCCAUAACCCUGCCAGUUCCCAAGCGCCCAGAGACAGACUGGGACGGCUUGGAGUCUAAGACUUGGGAGACGGUGAAGAAACCAAAGGCAAGUGCUGCACAGCUAAGCAAGAAAGCCAAGAAGGAAAGCAAAAAGAAACGACCGUCGAGGCACGAAAUGGAGUACGGGCUCAGGGGAGCAAUGGGUGCCUGUGUCACAACCUUCCUGAGCUCCCCUUGCAAGCUCCUGCUCCCCUCGCCUGCAAGUGGAGCAAUGCUCAGGUUUGAGGAAUCGUUUCCUUGGCAGGCGGUAAAAGACGACGCGGCUGCAAGUUUCGUGUCCUUGUUUGUCAUUGGAAAGCAGCCUCCUUGAGAGCAGGAGAGCAGCUGCUGUGUGGUGCUGAAGGGCAUUUCUCCCAGCUGAGAUCCCUGAGCCCACACUGGCGGAGAACGUGCUGCACCACCAUCUCUUCUGCAGGGCCGCUUUGCAGCUGCUCUGUGCGCUGGCUGUAAUCGUGCCGGUUUCCAGGUGCCAUAAGCCAGACUGGCACAGUCUUGGGACUCAGUCUGGCGAGGCAGUGAAGAAAGCCAAGGCAAGUGCUGCUCUGCUGAGGAAGAAAGCCCAGAAGGAGAGCAAAAAGAACCGAGCAGGGCUUGAGCAAGAAGGCCCACAGGACACUGGGAUCAGCUGGAAUGCUUCCUCGGAGGUGGCACCAAAGGCAGCGGACUGAGUCCAGUUUUGUGGCAUGACUGUGCUUUCUCUGUCAUGGACAGUGCAGCGGAACUGAGGCACCUGGAAGGGAAGGGCUUGUGCUGCGUUCCCAGCAAGGAGGGAUUGCCAGAGCCAGGUCUUCAGCUAUGGCAAGAGGUGGAGAGGCUGUGUUCCUUCAGGCUGCGUCUCUUCAGGGCCAGGGCCGGUCUAGUGUGAGAUUCAAGUAUGGCUAGCCGGGCCUGGAGGGAGAGGAGCUGACAUAGCCACAGGGUCAGGCUUCUCCUUGUGUCUGGCUGGAGGCUGAUUGACUCAUUGCUAAGCAGAAACCCUGGGCGCUGGGGUUUCAUUUUGGGCUGUGUUGAUAUAAAUACAACCCAGAGCCUUUUGUAUUGAAUAAAAGCAAAACCAACUUUUUCCACACGGUGCUGCCUCUUUCCAUAGCUGGUCAAAAGGUGCCGUGCUUGGGCUGGCAUCACAGGGCCGUGAACCAGUCAGCUCUGCCCUGAAAUUCUGCUGGUUUUCCCCCAUUUCCUUGUUGGUCUUCCCAAUGGGUGGCCUUUCAGCCCACCUGUAGCUGCUGCCCACAGGCUGUGAGCCUGCCCUUGCUCUCCAAGGACCGCCAGCAAAAGCACGAAGGAGGGGAAGCAGCCCGGGAGGAAGAAAGGUGUCCCUGCACUCAGCCCCUGGAGCUUGCCUCUCUUCCUGGUGGCUUUUUCAGCCCUGCGCUGUGCUGAGGGUUGCUUUUUGCCCCGGGAAGCCCAGCUGCACGCGGGCAGCCUUGGGCUGCACAUCAGCCUGGCAUUGGGGCACGAGGAGUGGAGGUGUGGGGGGGAUGGUGUGAAGAGCAGCGCUGGGAGCGGGGAGGAGGAGAGGGCAGCGGGUGGGCGGCAGGGGAACGUGCCUCGGAGCAGAGCUCAGCCUCGAGGCUGGGCGACACGGAGCCGUGCUGCGCUGCUCAAGUGCGGUACGGCAGCGCCGCGUGUUGUGCCAGGGCGCUUUGCUGAGUCCAGGGGCGGGACGGAGCUGCAGCUGGCCAAUGAGAGGCACGAAUGGGCCGGAACUGGCCCUGACCGAUGAGUGGCCGGAGGCGGCGUGGAGCUGCGAUGGUGGAGGGGCUCGUGGUGUUUUUGUGGCAGAAAAUCCCAGAUUUCAAGGGAACGCCUGGGAUUGUUGGCAGAAAACCCUUUAAUCCCUGUUUUUCCCCUUAAAUCUGGGGUUUUCUCCCAGAAAUCCCUGUUUUUCCCCUUAAAUCUGGCUUUUCACUCCCAGAAAUCCCUGUUUUUCCCAAUAAAUGUGUCUUUUUCUCCCAGAAAUCCCUGUUUUUUCCCCUUAAAUCUGGGCUUUUCUCCCUGAAAUCCCAGUUUUUCCACUUAAAUCUGGCUUUUAUCUCCCACAAAUCCUAGUUUUCCCCCUUAAAUCUGGAUUUUUCUCCCAGAAAUCCAUUUUCCCCCUAAAUCCGGGUUUUUCUCCCAGAAAUCCCAUUUUUUCUCCUUAAAUCUGGGGUUUUCUCCCAGAAAUCUCCGUUUUUUCCCCUUAAAUUGGGGGUUUUUCCUCUUAAAUAUGGCUUUUCCACCUAUGAAAUCCCAGUUUUCCCCCUUAAAUCUGGGGUUUUCUCCCAGAAAUCCCUGUUUUUCCACUUAAAUCUGGAUUUUUCACCCAGAAAUUCCUGCUUUUGCCCUUAAAUCUGGGGUUUUCUCCCAGAAAUCCCAUUUUCCCCCUUAAAUUUGGGUUUUCUCCCACAAAUCCCUGUUUUCCCCCUUAAAUCUGGGGUAUUCUCCCAGAAAUCCCUGUUUUUCCACUGAAAUUGGGGGGUAUUCCUCUUAAAUAUGGCUUUUCCUGCUAUGAAAUCCCAGUUUUUCCCCUUAAAUCUGGCAUUUUCGCCAUGAGAGGCGACUGCUUUGCCCAGUGUUUUCCUGUCGCUCCUUGCAGUUCCUGCAUUUGAAUUACUGCACGAUGAUGUGCUGUUUCAACUGCUCCUCGUACCUCUGCAUCAUCUGCAGACUGUGCUGCCAGGGCCCUGAUGGAGGGGUGGAACGCUGCUGGUGCUGGGUGGAGGCCAAGGCCCCUUUCUAUCAACUGGCUUCCAGCUGAGCUUUUGCCAGUGCUCGCAGCCCUCUCUGCCUGGCCCUUGGGGUGGUUUUGUGCCCACCUCGUAGCCCCCUUUUUUAGCUGGUAUGUCGUCCACUUGCCUGUUGUGAGAGAGAGUGAGGAAAGCCUUACAGAGGUGGAGAGAAACAGAAUUCACCGCUGUUUUCUCUCCCACCAAACUUCCCCUCCCCCCGUACACAGCUGUCACAUUGGUACCCAGUUUCCCCUUUGUUCUCUGUCACCCUUUCCCUUCACGAGUCUGGGGACGACUCCUAUUUUGUUUGUAUCUGUUAAGCAUGAUGUAGAAUAAGGGGGGGGAACGUCCUGGUGCUACGCUUUGGGUUCUCAGCAUUGCACACCAUCUCAUCAUGUCAUGCACUGGGGGUUUGGCUGCUGAUGCUCAAGUUGCGGGUGCCUGUCUGGAGGAGAAGAACCACGUUUCCCCAGGGGGCUUUGCGGUCAGCAAGGACACACAGCUCCUGGCCAAGUCCCCUGAUGUUCUCGUCUUCGCCUGCGCUUCUCCGCCUGCUUUUCUUCCUGGGCUCAACUGGACCGCAGUUCUCAGCUCAGCGCUGUGGUGAGGCCUAUCCACCUUUCAGACACACUCUCUCUCUCGCUCGCUCUCAUUCUAUUUUGCUGAUACCAUAUUUAGUAAAUCAGUUUGUUGCACCUCAGAUCGUUGCCACUGUUUUCAAUCAUUUUGGGAUCCCCUGUUUCCCUUUUCCGCCCUGCUGCUCAUGGAACCGGGCCAAACCAGGCCAUCAAGUGCUGCCAUCGAGGCAUCUCCACUUCAGAGCUGGAUAGAGAGCGGGGAGAGAAAGAAAGGGGAAGGGAGGGGAGAGGAGGAGAGGGGAAUGGAGCCUGAAGCCUGGAGGAGAGGCAAUGUCACCGCGGUGUUCAAAAAGGGCAAGAAGGAAGAGCCAGGCAAUGAUGGGCCAGCCAGCCUCACCUCUGUCCCUGGAAAGGUGAUGGAACAGCUGUGCUGGAUGCCAUCUCCUGACAAUGGAAGAAAAGGUUAUCAGGAGUAGUCAGCACGGGUUCACAAAGGGGAGGUUGUGCUUAACCAACCUGGUAGCCUUCUAUGAUGUUGUCUCUGGCUGGGUGGAUGGGGGCAGAGCAGUGGAUGUAGUCUAUCUUGAUUUCAGCAAGGCAUUUGAUACUGUCCCCCACGACAUCCUUAUAACAAAGCUGAGGAAGUGUGGGAUAGAUGAGUGGACAGUGAGGUGGGCUGAGAACUGGCUGACUGGCAGAGCACAGAGGGUCGUUGUUGGUGGUGCAGAAUCCGGUUGGAGGCCUGUAACUAGCGGUGUUCCUCAGGGGUCUGUGCUGGGUCCGGUCUUGUUCAACAUCUUCAUCAAUGACCUUGAUGAGGGGAUAAUGGCCACCCUCAGCAAGUUUGCUGAUGAUACGAAGUUGGGAGGAUUGGCUGAAGGCCGUGCUGCCAUUCAGCAAGACCUGCACAGGCUGAGAGCUGGGCACAAAAAACGGGAUGAGGUUUAACAACAGCAAGUGUAGAGUCUUGCAUCUGGGGAGGAAUAAUUCCAUGCAGC